UUAACGAGUUUUUAUUUUUGUGUUUGAGUAGGGCCAAAGCCCAAUCUCAGCCUAUACUAAACACGAAACCCACUAACACCUUCUCUGUCUUCUAACGUCGUCGUCUUCUUCGUAACUUCUUAUCCUCCACGACCGAUUGCAGAAUCUGUGUAACGCCGUUUUCCUCAUUGAAUCCACUUCAUAACGUCUUUCCAUUAACUCCCUCCAUUCAACUCUGCCACUAACUUGACUUUAAUGACCCCUUUUAUCAAUUUCCAUCUCAAAUCCAUAAUUCAUGAGACUAUAAACAUGGAUAAAUACCUCACCAAAUCUCACUGCUUCAAGAGAUUAAUCAUAUUCCUUCCAUACAAAUCCAGCCUGUAAUGAUGGUGUCAUCUCAUAUCCUUAUUUCCGAUUUAAAGUCCGGUCGUUGUCCCAGAUGGUGGUGACGCUUUUUCUGUGUUUCUGGGGAGCACGCACUGUCAAGAAAAGAGGAGAGCUCAUGGGAUUCAACAUGCUGCUGUUUUAUGAAAAGAUGCAUGCUUAAGUGAUGAAGCUUUAAUAGACCCAAGUCAAGACUCGAGUUCCCAGUGACUAAUCAAGUCUCAAGAAAUGGAAACUGAUGAUCCUAAUAUAUAUAAUGAAAAGACUGGAUCUCACAAGAAGUUCAGGGUUUAAACACCAUCAUGGCUGUCGAGAUGACUGCAUAGUUUCUCAGGUUUGGCUGCAAAGGCAUCAUAUGUCCAGCCAACAUGUGCUGAGGGCUCUGCAAAGGAACACCUGGUUCCGGCAGUAGGAGUGCACUCAAGAAGGCAUGCAAAGAAUGGUUACUUAAGCUCUCCACAUCAAGACCCUCUUAUUUUUCCGAACCUUCGUUGACGUUAUGCUUUAAAAAAAAAUCAGAGUCUUUUGUUUAAUCUUCUUCCAUGUUUGCCACUUAAAUUUUUUUUCUUCCGUAACACAGUU
Long non-coding RNA from Brassica oleracea var. oleracea, 945 nucleotides. RefSeq lists it as uncharacterized. The record is from RefSeq and is a predicted model, not a curated record. The transcript is spliced from 3 exons. NCBI's taxonomy places the organism in Eukaryota, Viridiplantae, Streptophyta, Magnoliopsida, Brassicales, Brassicaceae.